Molecule: non-coding RNA, 638 nt
Organism: Camellia sinensis
Lineage: Eukaryota; Viridiplantae; Streptophyta; Magnoliopsida; Ericales; Theaceae
Source: RefSeq, a predicted model, not a curated record
GACAUUUGUAUUUGUCAAAAAGAAAAGAUAAAAAAGGUUUUGACAUUUAUCCUUGUUCAAAACAGUGUUGUUUCUUAAAUAGUUAUAUUGUCUUUCAGGAAUUCACAUAGAUUUACUUCACUUCGGCAACUCUCCAACAAUUUUGCCCAGUUUAAUAAUUUGCGAGGCCCACUUCGUUCAAGGAAGACAGUGACUAGAAAGGAUGCUGCGGUUAUUAAUGAAUGGAGGUUUCUAAAGUUGAAAGAACACAAGGAGGGAAACGUUGAAGUGGAAAAUGUAGCUUUUGAUCGGUACAUGCAGAAUGUUAGUUUGCUCGAAGAGGUGCUUACUGUGGAUUCUACACCUGAAGGGUCCACCAAUAAUGGGCCCCCUAGGAGUGAAAAUGUUACAAAGAGAGUGCAAGACAUUGUCAAUCAGGGACUAAGGAAGCUUCAGAAAAUUGAGUUAGGUAAUGGUGACAAUGAUUCCAGUAAGCAAGUUGAACUUGUCGGAAUGCAAAAAAAGGGAAAAUCUUGGCGGGCUGAGAGGGUUUCGGCUUUAAGUGAUCUUCAUGAUAAGUUGAAUAAAGCUCAGAAUGAGGAAGAUCUGAAAUCUUGCUUGGAGAUGAAACCCGAACUCUUUAAUCAUCAUCAAAGGAC